This 400-nucleotide ribosomal RNA is filed under the name uncultured bacterium. RNAcentral describes it as "bacterial SSU rRNA". It matches the Rfam family "Bacterial small subunit ribosomal RNA", at positions 355 to 752 of the family's 1533-position model. The record is from RNAcentral.
UAAGGAAUAUUGGUCAAUGGACGCAAGUCUGAACCAGCCAUGCCGCGUGGAGGAUGAAGGUCCUCUGGAUUGUAAACUUCUUUUAUUUGGGAAGAAACCCGAGAUUUCUAUUUCGGUUGACGGUACCAGAUGAAUAAGCACCGGCUAACUCCGUGCCAGCAGCCGCGGUAAUACGGAGGGUGCAAGCGUUAUCCGGAUUCACUGGGUUUAAAGGGUGCGUAGGCGGGCAGGUAAGUCAGUGGUGAAAUCCCCGAGCUUAACUUGGGAACUGCCGUUGAUACUAUCUGUCUUGAAUACUGUGGAGGUAAGCGGAAUAUGUCAUGUAGCGGUGAAAUGCUUAGAUAUGACAUAGAACACCUAUUGCGAAGGCAGCUUGCUACACAGUCAUUGACGCUGAGGC